UACGAAGGGUGCAAGCGUUAAUCGGAAUUACUGGGCGUAAAGCGUGCGUAGGCGGUGAGUUAAGUCUGUCGUGAAAUCCCCGGGCUCAACCUGGGAAUGGCGAUGGAUACUGGCUCGCUAGAGUGUGAUAGAGGAUGGUGGAAUUCCCGGUGUAGCGGUGAAAUGCGUAGAGAUCGGGAGGAACACCUGUGGCGAAGGCGGCCCCCUGGGCCGGCCCUGACACUGAGACGCGAAGGCGUGGGGAGCGAACGGG
This 253-nucleotide ribosomal RNA is filed under the name uncultured bacterium. RNAcentral's name for it is "partial 16S ribosomal RNA". It matches the Rfam family "Bacterial small subunit ribosomal RNA", at positions 524 to 776 of the family's 1533-position model. The record is from RNAcentral.